This 81-nucleotide unclassified non-coding RNA is filed under the name Drosophila lini. RNAcentral's name for it is "partial miscellaneous RNA". The record is from RNAcentral. Lineage: Eukaryota; Metazoa; Arthropoda; Insecta; Diptera; Drosophilidae.
GAUAUAUGCCAGUAAAAUGGUGUAUUUUUAAUUUCUUUCAAUAAAAACAUUUCUGAUGAUAUAUGUAAACAAAAUUAUUAA